UUUGGAUCUCGCUAUUCGCUUCUCUCUUCUUCGAAGCCUCGAAUCUCUCUCCAUUUGGCGAGCGAGAGAGAAGGCAUCCGAGCAGCACCGAAGGAUUUAAUCUUUGCUUGUAUCUCCGAGUGUCCUUUUCUGGUUGAUCGCCCUCUCAGUCACUAAGAAUUCUACAAUAUAAAUUGGUUCAAGAGAAGUGGGAGAAAUUGCACAUUCUCUACAAGGUGCCCACCAUUUCAUCUUUGGUGACUUCUGGUUGUGGUGAGAUGAGUUCAUCACUUGGAGGUUUGCACUUUCAUAGAU
This is a long non-coding RNA of Dioscorea cayenensis subsp. rotundata (Guinea yam), 294 nucleotides long. RefSeq lists it as uncharacterized. The record is from RefSeq and is a predicted model, not a curated record. The transcript has 4 exons. NCBI's taxonomy places the organism in Eukaryota, Viridiplantae, Streptophyta, Magnoliopsida, Dioscoreales, Dioscoreaceae.